This 681-nucleotide ribosomal RNA is filed under the name uncultured Bacteroidales bacterium. Its description in RNAcentral is "bacterial SSU rRNA". It matches the Rfam family "Bacterial small subunit ribosomal RNA", at positions 70 to 741 of the family's 1533-position model. The record is from RNAcentral. Lineage: Bacteria; Pseudomonadati; Bacteroidota; Bacteroidia; Bacteroidales.
CAUCAGGAAGAAAGCUUGCUUUCUUUGCUGGCGACCGGCGCACGGGUGAGUAACACGUAUCCAACCUGCCCUUUACUCGGGGAUAGCCUUUCGAAAGAAAGAUUAAUACCCGAUAGCAUAAUGAUUCCGCAUGGUUUCAUUAUUAAAGGAUUCCGGUAAAGGAUGGGGAUGCGUUCCAUUAGGUUGUUGGUGAGGUAACGGCUCACCAAGCCUUCGAUGGAUAGGGGUUCUGAGAGGAAGGUCCCCCACAUUGGAACUGAGACACGGUCCAAACUCCUACGGGAGGCAGCAGUGAGGAAUAUUGGUCAAUGGGCGCUAGCCUGAACCAGCCAAGUAGCGUGAAGGAUGAAGGCUCUAUGGGUCGUAAACUUCUUUUAUAUAAGAAUAAAGUGCAGUAUGUAUACUGUUUUGUAUGUAUUAUAUGAAUAAGGAUCGGCUAACUCCGUGCCAGCAGCCGCGGUAAUACGGAGGAUCCGAGCGUUAUCCGGAUUUAUUGGGUUUAAAGGGAGCGUAGGUGGACUGGUAAGUCAGUUGUGAAAGUUUGCGGCUCAACCGUAAAAUUGCAGUUGAUACUGUCAGUCUUGAGUACAGUAGAGGUGGGCGGAAUUCGUGGUGUAGCGGUGAAAUGCUUAGAUAUCACGAAGAACUCCGAUUGCGAAGGCAGCUCACUGGACUGCAACU